This 1695-nucleotide ribosomal RNA is filed under the name Triticum aestivum (bread wheat). Its description in RNAcentral is "partial small subunit ribosomal RNA". The record is from RNAcentral. Lineage: Eukaryota; Viridiplantae; Streptophyta; Magnoliopsida; Poales; Poaceae.
AUGGACAUGGGUGGCAACAAGAAGGCGGAAGAUCAUCCGGUGGCGGGCGCGGCGUGCUCGGUGAGGAGGAGGAAUAGGAUGGGCAGGGUGGGCGUGGUGCUCAUCGUGUGCCUUUUUACGAUGCCGUUAAUGGUGCUCCUCUUCGGCCGGUGGCCGGGUGCGCUGGCCGUGUGGCAGAACGCCGCCCAGCUGACCGCGAUGGGUGGAGGAUUACUGAACGUCUCUCGUCAGAGCGCCGCCGGCGCAGACGAGCUCUUUGGCAGCCUUCUCUCGCCGGGCUUUGACCGAUGCGCGUGCCUGAGCCGCUACCAGUCCCCGCAUUACUACAAGCGCUCACCGUACGCGCCUUCGCCGCACCUCCUCCAGAAGCUGCGCGACUACGAGGCGCUGCACAGCAGGUGCGGCCCCGGCACGCCGCCGUACGCCAAGUCCGUCGAUCACCUCCGGUCCGGCAGCAGCAGCAGCAAGGAGGACAAGGAGUGCAACUACCUCGUGUGGAUCCCCUACAAUGGCCUCGGCAAUCGGAUGCUGUCGCUGAUCAGCACGUUCCUCUACGCACUCCUCACCGACCGCGUCCUCCUCGUACACUCCACGGACGACUUCACCGACCUAUUCUGCGAGCCGUUCCCCGGUGUGAAUGCGACCUGGGUGCUCCCGCCGGAGUUCCCCGUCGCCGACAUAUCCCGGCUCGGGGUGCGCUCCAACCAGUCGUACGGGAACCUCCUCGCCGGCAAGAAAAUCGACAACGACCCGACCAAGGCGACGGCGCAAUCGGUACCGCCGUACGUGUACCUGCACCUGGCGCACGACCUCCGGCGCUCGGACCGGCUCUUCUACUGCAACGACGACCAGCUCGUACUGGCCAAGGUCAACUGGCUGCUGCUGCAGAGUGACUACUAUUUCGUGCCGGCGCUGUACGACAUGGCCGAAUUCGAAGGUGAGCUCCGGAGGCUGUUCCCGGCCAAGGAGAGCGUGUCGCAUCUUCUCGGCCGUUACCUCCUCCACCCGUCCAACUUCGUUUGGGGCAUGAUCACCGGGUACUACCACACCUACAUGGCCCAGGCGGAGGAGAGGAUCGGCGUGCAGAUCAGGAUUUUCUCCUGGGCAUCCAUCCCCGUCGACGACAUGUACAACCAAAUCAUGGCGUGCUCGCGACAGGAGCACAUACUGCCGGAGGUCGUCAAUGGCGACGCCGCGGCGAGCGCUAGUAGCCAUGGCGGCUCCAAAUCCAAGGCCAUCUUGAUCGCGUCGCUGCAAGCAGACUACUACGACAGGAUCAAGUCGACGUACUACGAGCACGCGGCCAAGGGCGGAGGCAUGGUGGGGGUGUUCCAGCCGAGCCACGAGGAGCAGCAGAUAAUGGGGCAACGGUCGCACAACCAGAAGGCGCUCGCCGAGAUCUUCCUGCUCAGCUUCUCUGACGUGCUGCUCACCACAGGGAUAUCCACGUUCCGCUACAUGAGCAGCAGCCUCGCCGGACUGCGGCCGACGAUGCUAAUGAUCCCGAAAGACGGCAAAGUGCCUGAGCCGCCGUGCGUGCGCGCCGUGUCCAUGGAGCCGUGCUUCCACAUGACGCCCGAUGUUGAGUGCCAGGGGAAGGCAGUGAACAAGGAAGAGCUGUCUCACCACGUCAAGAAGUGUGAGGAUGUGGGCAAAGGAAUUAAACGGAAUAAAGGUAUCAAAUUAUUUGAUUAA